Molecule: long non-coding RNA, 2475 nt
Organism: Cyanistes caeruleus (blue tit)
Lineage: Eukaryota; Metazoa; Chordata; Aves; Passeriformes; Paridae
Source: RefSeq, a predicted model, not a curated record
AACCGCGGCACCGCAAGCACAGGCACUGCCCGGUGAUCCACUGUGUAGCUUCGGGCAACUCACUUUCUUCUCAAUCCCUUUCUAUCUGUAAAGAUGAUGAGCUCAAUUAGAUGGUAAACUUCAGAAGUGAAAGUGGUGUCACUGGUGUUGGCAUGAAGCAUGAGGGGUUUUUUGUGUCAGUGACACUGACGAGCCUUGCAUGUGUAAUGGCAGUAUGGGAAGAGAGACGGAUAGAUUUGAAUAGCAAUAAGGUCAAAUCGAGGAGGGCCUUGAGAAGCACCAGUGAGGUUCUCAGUACCCCCAAGGAAACAAACCCACAUCCCAGCUGGGCUCUUUCCUAAGAGGUUCAGCAGUCUGUGCCACAGCAGGACCAUGGUAUGAAGGCAGGUCUCGAGGAGAGCAUAUUGGGUCUUCAGGUAGCUGUUCAGCCAAGUGUGUAUUGCUGGCAUUAAAUAGCCCUGCCUGAGAUGAGAGCUCGUAGCAUCAGGAUUGAUAUGUGAAAAACAUCAACAAAUUCAGGACAUGCAGCAACAGUGAGCAGGAUUUCUGUGAACAGUUUGGCCAUUCAUUAACAAAAAGAAAAUAUUUGUCAUCACUUUUCCCCAGAAUGUUUUUACAAUGGCAGCUGCUACCUGAGCUGGUAUUUGUGUUGCUGAGCAAGUGAGCAGCAUCCUAAGGAAAUAAACACACAGGCAGGUGUGCAGCCAUGCUCAUUUGCUGCUUUUUGAGGGCAGAAGAAGGGUGAUGUAAUUAGCAGACACAUGUUUAAAUUUUUAAUUAAGAGUUUUAAUGGAUUAUUCACUGCCUACCAGAACACACAUGCUCUUACUUUCUCACUUUUUCAGUCUGGGUUCCUAAGGAAACCAGGCUUAGUCAGUCAUGCUGCCUGCCUGCCUGCCAGCCUUCCUUCCUAAUCAGUGUUGAACUCUUUCGGGUUCAUGGCAGGCGAACACCACUUUUCUGGUAAAAUCAUGACUGCAUCACAACACAGUGGUAGCAAAAGGUCUGAGCAGCUGCUGCAGAGUUUAGCAGUAGGCACAAAUAGAUUUUUCCAGGAACAGGGCCGAGUCUCCAGCAAAAUCAGCAGGGGCAGAGGGAGGAAGGCAUGAGAGGAAAGAAGGGGAAGAAGAAAAAAAGAUCCUGAUGGGCUGGCUGCAUCUUUUCCAGACCCCCUCUGACUUACUUGAUGUUCAAAGAGCAAUUUUUUAACAUUUUUUUAGUCUCAUGCCGCUUGCUGAUGCAGUGAUACUCUUUAUGGUACCUGUGUGAUACAAGUUGCAACAUUGGGCUGAAGGGCACAAAACUGAAAGACCUACCGGACUGCAAGGGUUCUAAGUGCCACAGCUGGCACAAGUUAUUUUCUUCUGCUUGUGAAUUCACGGAAUUAUUUCCACGACACCUCUAUACUUUGUGUAGAGAAAAGCUAGUGAUCUAAGAAAAAGAGUUCCCAAGGUGUCCAGACCAGCGUUCUUAUCCCUGGGAGUGUGGAAACAAUGUAAGGCUGUUCAUUUUCUCCUUCCAUGAUUCAGUAUCAUCAAUGGUAGGUUUGAUUCCUGGAUGAAUUCACCAUUUCUGUUCUUCUAUGAAGGAAAAUGGGUUAAUAUUUUUGCUGAGAUCAUCCGUCUUUAAAAGCUGUGGAGAUUUUGAGAGGAACGGCCUGUCAGGAAGCAGCCAUAGCUGGCUCUCUGCAAGGAAAGGUGAGCUGGAAGCUGAGACACCAACACAGCUGGCAGGACAGGAGUCUCAGCAGUCCCACAGCCCCCAGUGAGCCAAGCAAGGCAGGUCCAGAGCGGGAGCGAGGAUCAGGCACAGCCCUGGGAACACCAGGCAGGUUCCUGGUGAAAAGGCAGGUCUGAGACCAGGCUGGAAGUCAUCUCCAGGUCAGGGUUUAGGUCCAAAGCAAUGGGUCCAGAGGUAGGGACAGGUGUGACUGCAGCAUGGCAGGAGCUUUAGCUCAGAUGGGGCCUGAUGGAAGGGGCUUAGCUUAAAAGCAGGUCCCACAGGAAGUGGUAUCAGCCCUGGCUGUGUCCAAGGCCAGCAAAGGAGUGGGGCAGCUCUCAGCUCUGCAAGCUCCAAGCUGGCCCUGAGCCCAGACAGCCGAACAGCCGGGAGGGGACCUGCUCUCAGGGCCCUCAGACAGGGCCCUCAUCUCUCUGUUUGCCCGUGCUGAAGCAUGGGAUAAGUCAGAGAGUUGCUAUGUGGUGUGGAAUGGUCCCUGAUGGCUUUAAAUCCCAUAAUUUUCCCUUUUGGAUUUAGGCUUGCCAGGUGUGACUGCUGCCUGUUGCCUGGUGGUCCGGCAAAUGAUUUUUCCAAACCUAUGGGAUCUGACAAAAUCAUGAGGUUACUCAGCACUUGCUGGAGCACCUUCUGGUGGAUAUGGGAUGGAGAGGACCCUGUGUUUGUGCACAGUGUGAGAUGGAUGACCAUUUGGGGAGUCCAACUGCAGAGUCAUCAAUAAUAAAGCACAGAAACUGA